AACGGUCUAUACCUGCGGUACCUGCGGAGGGAUCAUUACCGAGUUAUCAACUCCCAAACCCCUGUGAACAUACCCGAACGUUGCCUCGGCGGGACCGCCCCGGCGCCCCUAGCGGCCCGGAACCAGGCGCCCGCCGGAGGACCCAAACUCUUGCUUUAAACAGUGGCAUACUCUCUGAGUCUCACAAACAAAAAAUAAAUCGAAACUUUUAACAACGGAUCUCUAGAUCGGAAGAGCACA
RNAcentral lists this unclassified non-coding RNA (240 nucleotides) under soil metagenome. Its description in RNAcentral is "partial contains 5.8S ribosomal RNA, internal transcribed spacer 2, and large subunit ribosomal RNA". The record is from RNAcentral.